RNAcentral lists this ribosomal RNA (241 nucleotides) under uncultured Staphylococcus sp. Its description in RNAcentral is "partial 16S ribosomal RNA". It matches the Rfam family "Bacterial small subunit ribosomal RNA", at positions 99 to 334 of the family's 1533-position model. Lineage: Bacteria; Bacillati; Bacillota; Bacilli; Caryophanales; Staphylococcaceae. The record is from RNAcentral.
CGGACGGGUGAGUAACACGUGGAUAACCUACCUAUAAUACUGGGAUAACUUCGGGAAACCGGAGCUAAUACCGGAUAAUAUAUUGAACCGCAUGGUUCAAUAGUGAAAGACGGUUUUGCUGUCACUUAUAGAUGGAUCCUCGCCGCAUUAGCUAGUUGGUAAGGUAACGGCUUACCAAGGCAACGAUGCGUAGCCGACCUGAGAGGGUGAUCGGCCACACUGGAACUGAGACACGGUCCAG